GUGGGGAAUAUUGGGCAAUGGGCGCAAGCCUGACCCAGCAACGCCGCGUGAGGGAAGAAGGCCUUCGGGUUGUAAACCUCUGUCCUAUGGGAAGAAAAAAAUGACGGUACCAUAGGAGGAAGCUCCGGCUAACUACGUGCCAGCAGCCGCGGUAAUACGUAGGGAGCAAGCGUUGUCCGGAAUUACUGGGCGUAAAGGGUGCGUAGGCGGUUGCUUAAGUCAGAUGUGAAAUACUCGGGCUCAACUCGGGGGCUGCAUCUGAUACUGGGUAACUAGAGUGCAGGAGAGGAAAGUGGAAUUCCUAGUGUAGCGGUGGAAUGCGUAGAUAUUAGGAGGAACACCAGUGGCGAAGGCGACUUUCUGGACUGUAACUGACGCUGAGGCACGAAAGUAUGGGUAGCAAACAGGA
Molecule: ribosomal RNA, 409 nt
Filed under: uncultured bacterium
Lineage: Bacteria
Description: bacterial SSU rRNA
Rfam family: Bacterial small subunit ribosomal RNA
Source: RNAcentral